Cynara cardunculus var. scolymus (artichoke) is the source of this 436-nucleotide long non-coding RNA. RefSeq lists it as uncharacterized. The record is from RefSeq and is a predicted model, not a curated record. NCBI's taxonomy places the organism in Eukaryota, Viridiplantae, Streptophyta, Magnoliopsida, Asterales, Asteraceae. The transcript has 3 exons.
GGUGGAGGCUUCGAAUACCCGCCGAGAGAAACGCUAAAGCUGUUAAAUAAGUAACCGUAAAAGGAUAGACCUCCCGUCGCCGUCGAUCGGCAGCCGGAAAACAUAUAAUUGGAGCUGCAAUCACUACCUUCAAGUGAAAACCAGGUUCUAUGGACUAUCCUAUGUGCGAAUCAUAUGUUUCGGGUGAUUCUGAUAUUCGAAAUCCUGGAACUUGAGCUUGAAGCUGCUGCUGUAAUGUUUGCUAGUUUGUUUGAAUUCAAGAUUUUCCACAUACGCAAUAUGGGACGCUGCAAAAGUUGGUGCCGAAGACCAUAUGCCAAAGAGUUCAAUGAUGUUCUCGUGUAAACUUUGGUGAAAUGCCAGCAAGACGCGCAACACAAACACUGUAGCAUCGGAAUUCUUCUGAAUUGACAUCUCUACUCAAACUUCUUCUGCA